CCUACGGGAGGCAGCAGUGGGGAAUAUUGCACAAUGGGGGAAACCCUGAUGCAGCGACGCCGCGUGAGUGAAGAAGUAAUUCGUUAUGUAAAGCUCUAUCAGCAGGGCAGAAAAUGACGUUACCGUAGUAAGAAGCCCCGGCUAACUACGUGCCAGCAGCCGCGGUAAUCCGUAGGGGGCAAGCGUUAUCCGGAUUUACUGGGUGUAAAGGGAGCGUAGGCGGCAGUCCAAGUCUGGAGUGAAAGGCGGGGGCUCAACCACCGGACUGCUCUGGAAACUGUACGGCUGGAGUGCAGGAGAGGUAAGUGGAAUUCCUAGUGUAGCGGUGAAAUGCGUAGAUAUUAGGAGGAACACCAGUGGCGAAGGCGGCUUACUGGACUGUAACUGACGUUGAGGCUCGAAAGCGUGGGGAGCAAACAGGAUUAGAUACCCUAGUAGUC
This 440-nucleotide ribosomal RNA is filed under the name uncultured bacterium. Its description in RNAcentral is "partial 16S ribosomal RNA". It matches the Rfam family "Bacterial small subunit ribosomal RNA", at positions 338 to 795 of the family's 1533-position model. The record is from RNAcentral.